UCCGUAGGCGGGCGUCUAAGUCAGUGGUGAAAUCUUACAGCUCAACUGUAAAAUUGCCAUUGAUGCUGGAUGUCUUGAAUUAGUGUGAAGUGGUUAGAAUGUGUAGUGUAGCGGUGAAAUGCAUAGAUAUUACACAGAAUACCAAUUGCGAAGGCAGAUCACUAACACUAUAUUGACGCUGAGGGACGAAAGCGUGGGGAGCGAACAGGAUUAGAUACCCUGGUAGUCC
RNAcentral lists this ribosomal RNA (229 nucleotides) under uncultured bacterium. RNAcentral's name for it is "partial 16S ribosomal RNA". It matches the Rfam family "Bacterial small subunit ribosomal RNA", at positions 568 to 796 of the family's 1533-position model. The record is from RNAcentral.